CCUACGGGAGGCAGCAGUGGGGAAUCUUGCGCAAUGGGCGAAAGCCUGACGCAGCCAUGCCGCGUGAAUGAUGAAGGUCUUAGGAUUGUAAAAUUCUUUCACCGGGGACGAUAAUGACGGUACCCGGAGAAGAAGCCCCGGCUAACUUCGUGCCAGCAGCCGCGGUAAUACGAAGGGGGCUAGCGUUGCUCGGAAUUACUGGGCGUAAAGGGAGCGUAGGCGGAUAGUUUAGUCAGAGGUGAAAGCCCAGGGCUCAACCUUGGAAUUGCCUUUGAUACUGGCUAUCUUGAGUAUGGGAGAGGUAUGCGGAACUCCGAGUGUAGAGGUGAAAUUCGUAGAUAUUCGGAAGAACACCAGUGGCGAAGGCGGCAUACUGGCCCAUUACUGACGCUGAGGCUCGAAAGCGUGGGGAGCAAACAGGAUUAGAUACCCUGGUAGUCCACGCUGUAAACGAUGAGUGCUAGUUGUCGGCAUGCAUGCAUGUCGGUGACGCAGCUAACGCAUUAAGCACUCCGCCUGGGGAGUACGGUCGCAAGAUUAAAACUUAAAGGAAUUGACGG
Molecule: ribosomal RNA, 560 nt
Filed under: uncultured bacterium
Lineage: Bacteria
Description: bacterial SSU rRNA
Rfam family: Bacterial small subunit ribosomal RNA
Source: RNAcentral